This 187-nucleotide antisense RNA is filed under the name Halothece sp. PCC 7418. RNAcentral describes it as "Antisense RNA which regulates isiA expression". It matches the Rfam family "Antisense RNA which regulates isiA expression". Lineage: Bacteria; Bacillati; Cyanobacteriota; Cyanophyceae; Chroococcales; Halothecacae. The record is from Rfam by way of RNAcentral.
GAUAACCAAAGAUUGCUGCUGGGUUGAGAGUCGGAUUAUUGAUGACACGGACAUCACCACCACCAGGGGCCCAGGUAUCAUAAACACCGCCGAAGAAGACGGCUUUGAAUACCAGCAAGAGGGCUCCAAUUCCUAAAAUAAUUAGGUGGAAACCAAUGAUGCUGGUCAUUUUGUUUUUAUCUUUCCA